RNAcentral lists this long non-coding RNA (219 nucleotides) under Physcomitrium patens. Its description in RNAcentral is "long non-coding RNA (PPAT_LNC013513)". Lineage: Eukaryota; Viridiplantae; Streptophyta; Bryopsida; Funariales; Funariaceae. The record is from RNAcentral.
GGGCUUUAGCUCACGGCGAAGAGAAGAUAGAAAUGGGCGAAGUGAAGGGAGAGUGGAUGCGGCGAUCGAUACAAGCAGAUCCAUCCAUGCUGAGCCUGCAGCAGCGGAUCACCAUCCCCAGAGACAGGGAUGCCCUGAUUAAGAGGCCCGCAACCUGGAACCUGGAACCACGGAUGCGUUCGUCGCGUCGCAAGCACUUCGAAGCCCACGCUAGCAUCC